Molecule: ribosomal RNA, 246 nt
Filed under: Rhipicephalus afranicus
Lineage: Eukaryota; Metazoa; Arthropoda; Arachnida; Ixodida; Ixodidae
Description: partial small subunit ribosomal RNA
Source: RNAcentral
CUUUUCAGAGGMAUUUGCUCUUUAAUGGAUAAAACACCAAAAUCUUACUUAGAUUUGUGAUUUCAAUUUGUAUACCACUAUAAAAACAAUUUAUAAUUUUAAUUGUUUAAAUUUACAAAAUUAAAAUAUWUUAAGUCAAGGUGCAGUAAAAAUUUAAGGAUGAAGUGAAUUACAUUACUUUUUAGUGAAAUAAAUUUAUAAUAAUACUUAGGAUUUGAAAGUAAAAUUAAAAUAGGAUGUUAAUUU